RNAcentral lists this long non-coding RNA (5298 nucleotides) under Brassica napus (rape). RNAcentral's name for it is "long non-coding RNA (BNAP_LNC012250)". The record is from RNAcentral. Lineage: Eukaryota; Viridiplantae; Streptophyta; Magnoliopsida; Brassicales; Brassicaceae.
UCUUCUUUGUCUUCUUCCUCGGUUCACGGGAUCCAUCUGGUCAAAGCCAUAAGUAAACACCUUCAAUCUAGCAAACUCCGCCGCCGUUUCCAUGGCAUCCCGCCACCACCACGCCUGCUCACAACGCCAUAACCACUACAAUCAAAUCCCUCUAGUCCCCACGUCUCCACGCUGCUGUACAUACAGAGAUUCUCCUCCCUGCUGCACUCACUCCAACCUUUCACCGCCGCCAGAUAAUCUCCAUCACCCCCUCGCUUCUUACCUCCAAACCCAUCAACAAGAAACACACUUUCGUAACCAAACCUGCUCCUGCAACCAAAACAACGUUCCACGACAACAACACGACCAAGUUAUCCUCUCCUGUCUCCUCCGCAAAAUCGAUGCUCUCGAGUCAUCUCUCAACAAGUUCGCACCUUUCCACGACCAACGCCGCGACCGAUACUCCACACUGAGAGACUCCGCCGCGCGUGUCAUCCAAACCCAUUUCCGCUCUUACCUUGUUCAGAGAUCCAUCUCCUUUAGACAUCUCAAGGAGCUCGCAGUGAUCAAAUCCAGCUUCUUGUCUCUCAAGUCUUCGGUUUCGGGCAAACCCAUUUUCCCUUACAAGGUUGUUUCUCGGAAAGCUACAGACUUGCUCCUUCAACUUGAUUCGAUUCAGGUAUAAUGUGAAUAAAGUUUUGUCCUUUUUUGUUUUUGGAGAUGUUUGAUUUUAGUGUUCGUUUGGUUCUCUGUUAGGGUAGGGUUGAUCCAAUGAUACGGAGUAGUAAGAGGUCUUUGAGCAGAGAUUUGGUGAGGUUUUUGCAGUACGUUGAUGAUUGUGUUGUUAAAAGGUAUUCUGCUGCUAGUGUGAGCUUUGUGGGUAGCCACAGCAAAAGGCCUCAGGGUUUUGGUGUAGCAGAAAAGAGAAGAGUGGAGAAGUUGAGAAACCAAAUGGGGAAAGUCUUUGUUACUUGUGAUGAGGGUGAAGAGUUGGACUCCACUACUGAUGAUAGUGAAGAAGUCUCUAUUGAUAAGAGAAAGAGUGGUAGCUCUAAGUUUAGAACUGGGGCCAAUGUAGUGAAGCCUCCGGUUAGGAAGACCAUGGUACUUGACAAGAACAGGAAUGUGUAUCAGGAUGAGUCAGUUGAUAGUAGCGAGGAAGAAACCCUUGUGGUAACCAGGGAUAAUGAAAGGAAGCAGCAUGGUUUGAAAACUAGGAAGAUGGUUUUGGUGAAAGAAGGUGGAGGAAAGAGCCGUGUGGUGAAAACUGUGAGGUUUGAUGAGGAUGGGAAUGUGUAUAAGGUUUAUGGAGAUACGCCGGAGUCAAGUAUUACCGAGGAGGGAGAUGACUCAACAAGCGGAUCAAUCGAUGGUAAUGGAGACAAGAAAGGGAAUGAGAAUGAAGUCGAGGAGAUCAAGUAUGUUCCCAAGGAAAACGAGGGCUUUGAAGAAGAAGAAGACGAAACUCAUUCUGAAAAUGAAGUCUCUUCUUCAGAAGCCAGUGAAAGUAAUGAACACAAGCAGAGGCAGAUCCAGGUUCAAAAAGGAAACUUAAUGGUCUCUCCUCCAUUGCCACUAAAAAUGGAACCUUAACCAGUGAAUCAUGAAAGAUCCAAGUCUUCUUCUUCUUUGGUUAUGCAUGGCUUUUAGUCUCUUCCCUGAACCCAAAUAAGGUUAACUUUCUUUGUUGUAGAAACUGUAACAUAAGCAGAUGGUUCAAGAUUAGGUUCUGGGAAGAUCUGUGAGAGUUUUUUAUUCUUGGUUUGCUGAUUCUGUCUUUUUAUUUAUUCUCCACGAAACUUUUGAGUUGAGCAUUUUCUUCAUAGAUAUUCUUUUGAGUGUUGGUUUCCUUAGUUGCAUGUGGAGAUCAACUCAAUAAGAAGUUCUGUUUCUUGCAUUGUUCUUGAGUGUGUGUAAUAUAUUAUGCUUCUAAAAUAUAUAAGUUGUAUCAAUCGAACCGUAUAGAAUCAGUAGUAUCGUUAUUGGAUCUUGCCGACAAUGUGAUUAAUGAUUAUAGUCUCUUGUGUGACAUUUGUUUGCUAGCUUAAUAGUAUAAUGUACUAGCACUAGCAGUAGUAUCGUUCUUGGAUCUUGACGACAAUGUGAUUAUAGUCUCUGUGUCAGAUUUGUUUGGUAGCUUAAUAGUGUUAAUUAAAGUACUCGGUCAAUCGUUUAAUACAAGAAAUAUUUUCACAAGUGCACUAAAACUAAUGAGUAUUGACAAAAGUAGUCCAUAAAUUAACGAUCAAGACGCGAAGCACAUUGCAAGUGGAUGUCUUGUCGCUUUCUCCAAGAAAUAUCUCUGAUCAGCUCCAGUCCCACUGUAGAAUAACGUGACCUUUCACUUGUCCCCCCAUAUCCAAUAACACUAUGACACGUGGAUAUUUACUUCACAUUAUAAGUGAUCAGUGUGAUCACUGAGUUGCCUCGUGAAACUGAAAAGCUUCAGAGAGAGAGAGAUGGAUACGAUGCGAAUCUCCGCCGGAGCUGAGAAGAUUCCGGUGAAAUGCAACUCCCUGUCGAGCCUCGUCACUCGUCGCUGGAGAACGAAGAAGUUCCCGGCGAGGAUCAGAAACUGGCGACUUUUAUCGGUGAAAUCUAUCUCCAGCAAUACCAAGACUCUAGUCACCGAUUCCGAACAAGGUCCAAGUCUCAUCUAUAUCCUCCUUUCUCAUUCAGACGCGUUAAAUGAUGAUUAUAAAAAAAAAAAAAUCAUAUCUUUUUUGAUUGAAAACAGUAGCCUCGAGCAUCAAGCACCACUCUGAGUUCAGGCCUCUGUUCUCUCCCGAGAAGUUCGAGCUGCCUAAGGCUUUCUUCGCCACCGCACAGAGCGUCAGAGACGCUCUGAUCGUGAACUGGAACUCUACUUAUGAGUGUUACAACAGAGUGAAUCCGAAACAGGCUUACUAUCUGUCUAUGGAGUUUCUGCAGGUUCGCUUUACUUUAAAGUCUCAUCCUUUUCCUCUUUUGUAGUACUUUGGUUUAUUAUUAUCUGAUCAUCUUGGUGGCCCUAUUGUAGGGUAGAGCCUUGUUGAAUGCAGUUGGUAACCUCGGCCUCACUGGUGCUUACGGUGAUGCUUUGAAGAGUCUUGGCUUUGAAUUAGAAAGUGUAGCUGGUCAGGUUAGUUGAUUAUUGUAGAUUGGUCUAUGAUUUACUUUUGGUUUCCUUUUGGUUUCCAAAAGACCUCGUACUAAUUAGAGUUGGUACUAAUUAGAGUUGGAAAGCUCUUUAUAUAUUAGACUCUCUUUGUCUAAUUCUCCGAUAUGGGACUUUGUUUGUUAUAUCAUAUGUGCACCCGUAAAUUUAUUCAUUCACAUAAUAAUAUACAAACCUUGGAUAGGUAUUUUGCCUUAAUGCGAUUUGCUCUAUAAGUUUCUUUGCUUUUUUUCGAUUUGAUUCGUGUUUGUUCAUAGCAAGACUGUCUUUUCUUAAUCUUUUGCUGAAUCGCUAACUUCUUUACUUCCAAUUUGUAGGAGCCAGAUCCUGCACUUGGGAACGGUGGACUCGGGAGACUCGCCUCGUGCUUUUUGGACUCCAUGGCUACUCUGAACUAUCCGGCGUGGGGUUAUGGACUUAGGUACAAGUACGGCUUGUUCAAACAGAUAAUCACUAAAGAUGGUCAGGAGGAAGCUGCAGAAGACUGGCUUGAGGUCUCCUUCUUCUUGCUAUUCUAAUUUUUUUACUCCAUCAGUGACUUAAAUGGUUUCUUUUUCAGCUAAGCAAUCCUUGGGAGAUAGUCAGAAACGAUGUCUCGUAUCCAGUAAAGUUCUAUGGGAAAGUGGUUUUUGGAUCAGAUGGUAGGAAACGGUGGAUUGGUGGUGAAGACGUUGUGGCCGUUGCUUAUGAUGUUCCUAUCCCUGGCUAUAAAACCAAGACUACUAUCAAUCUACGGCUCUGGUCAACAAAGGCCCCUUCAGGAGAUUUUGAUUUGUCUUUGUAUAACUCUGGCAAGCACACUGAGGCAGCAGAAGCUCUAUUCAACGCUGAAAAGGUCUCUAUUCACUUUCUCUUUGUUUUACAAUAGAACAGAGUUUUCGAAGUGUACAUUACUGAAAAAAAUAGUUGUUUGUCUUAUUAGAUUUGCUACGUGCUUUAUCCUGGAGAUGAGUCAGAUGAAGGAAAGGCUCUUAGGCUGAAGCAACAGUACACUCUGUGCUCAGCCUCGCUUCAAGAUAUCGUAGCACGGUUUGAGACGAGGUCUGGAGGGAGUGUUAACUGGGAAGAGUUUCCAGAGAAGGUUGCGGUGCAGAUGAAUGACACUCACCCAACCCUAUGCAUUCCUGAGCUUAUGAGGAUUCUAAUGGAUUUGAAAGGACUUAGCUGGGAGGACGCUUGGAAAAUCACACAGAGGUACUUGUUGAAAAUGACUGUGUCUCUUGUUCUUAUUUGUUUUCCUUCCUCUUAAAAUAAAGAUUAUCUAGGGCUGGGAUUUUGAACCGAAAUAACCAAAUUUCAAACUGCACUGAUCGAAAUUAAGUGAACUUAACUGAACUUAUCCAAAAAAAAAAUUAACUGAACUUAUUCAAAAUUUAAACCAAAAAAAAAUCUGGCAGGAUUUUCAAAAACAGAACUAACCAAAUACCGAACCAAACUUUAUUUCGGGUUGGUUCGGUAAAAUUUAUGCCGAACCAAACUAUCCAAACUGAAUUACCCGAACCCGCACUACAGGUUUGUAACCUGCAACGUAUUUCUAAAUAGAAUAAUAUUUACAGGACUGUGGCAUACACAAACCAUACAGUCUUGCCUGAGGCAUUGGAGAAGUGGAGUUUAGAACUAAUGGAGAAAUUGCUCCCUCGUCAUGUAGAGAUUAUCGAAAAGAUUGAUGAGGAGGUCCGUCUCUCAACACCAUCAAAUGUCUCUCUUCUUCUUUUUCUUUUUCCACAUCUCUGGUCUAAUCUGCACUUUCUGUAUUGCAGCUAGUGGGCACAAUUGUUUCCGAGUAUGGCACCGCAGAUCCUGACUUGCUCAAGGAGAAACUGAACGCAAUGAGGAUAUUAGAAAACGUCGAGUUGCCUUCUGCCUUUGCAGAUGUGAUUGUAAAGCCAGAGAGCAAACCAGUUAUUGCAGAAAAGACCAUAGACCUGUCAGAAGAUGCUAAAGAAGAUGCUCAAACUGAUGUGAUUGUAAAGCCAGAGAGCAAACCAGUUAUUGCAGAAAAGACCAUAGACCUGUCAGAAGAUGCUAAAGAAGAUGCUCAAACUGAUGUGAAAAAGGAAGUAGAAGAGGAAGAAACUGCUGGCGUCAUAGCGGAAGUUAUCCCAGAACCACCAAAGAUGGUCCGUAUGGCCAACCUUGCUGUUGUGGGUGGUCAUGCUGUA